RNAcentral lists this ribosomal RNA (794 nucleotides) under uncultured bacterium. Its description in RNAcentral is "bacterial SSU rRNA". It matches the Rfam family "Bacterial small subunit ribosomal RNA", at positions 90 to 874 of the family's 1533-position model. The record is from RNAcentral.
GAUGAGUGGCGAACGGGUGAGUAAUACAUAGGUAACCUGCCCCUGUGCGGGGGAUAACAGGAGGAAACUCCUGCUAAUACCGCAUAGCCAUGAGCACCGCAUGGAGCUCAUGCCAAAUAUCCUUUCGGGGAUAGCGCAGGGAUGGACCUAUGGCGCAUUAGCUUGUUGGCGGGGCAACGGCCCACCAAGGCAACGAUGCGUAGCCGGCCUGAGAGGGCGGACGGCCACAUUGGGACUGAGACACGGCCCAGACUCCUACGGGAGGCAGCAGUAGGGAAUUUUCGGCAAUGGGGGAAACCCUGACCGAGCAACGCCGCGUGAGCGAAGAAGGCCUUCGGGUCGUAAAGCUCUGUUGUAAAGGAAGAACGGCGCAUACAGGAAAUGGUAUGCGAGUGACGGUACUUUACCAGAAAGCCACGGCUAACUACGUGCCAGCAGCCGCGGUAAUACGUAGGUGGCGAGCGUUAUCCGGAAUCAUUGGGCGUAAAGAGGGAGCAGGCGGCCGCAAGGGUCUGUGGUGAAAGACCGAAGCUAAACUUCGGUAAGCCAUGGAAACCGGGCGGCUAGAGUGCGGAAGAGGAUCGUGGAAUUCCAUGUGUAGCGGUGAAAUGCGUAGAUAUAUGGAGGAACACCAGUGGCGAAGGCGACGGUCUGGGCCGCAACUGACGCUCAUUCCCGAAAGCGUGGGGAGCAAAUAGGAUUAGAUACCCUAGUAGUCCACGCCGUAAACGAUGGUCACUAAGUGUCGGGGGUCAAACCCCGGUGCUGCAGUCAACGCAAUAAGUGACCCGCCU